RNAcentral lists this ribosomal RNA (422 nucleotides) under uncultured bacterium. RNAcentral describes it as "partial 16S ribosomal RNA". It matches the Rfam family "Bacterial small subunit ribosomal RNA", at positions 359 to 774 of the family's 1533-position model. The record is from RNAcentral.
AAAUUUUGACAAUGGGGGAAACCCUGGUCCAGCCAGCCCGGGGGCAGGAUGAAGGCCGUCGGGUUGUAAAAUACUUUUUGCAGAGCAGAAAAGGUAACUCCUAAUACGAGAUAGUUCCGACGGUAUUGGCAGAAUAAGGACCGGCUAACUACGUGCCAGCAGCCGCGGUAAUACGUAGGGUGCAAGCGUUAAUCGGAAUUACUGGGCGUAAAGCGUGUGUAGGCGGUUCAGAAAGAAAGAUGUGAAAUCCCAGGGCUCAACCUUGGGACUGCAUUUUUAACUGCCGAGCUAGAGUAUGUCAGAGGGGGGUAGAAUUCCACGUGUAGCAGUGAAAUGCGUAGAUAUGUGGAGGAAUACCGAUGGCGAAGGCAGCCCCCUGGGAUAAUACUGACGCUCAGACACGAAAGCGUGGGGAGCAAACA